Molecule: long non-coding RNA, 160 nt
Organism: Triticum aestivum (bread wheat)
Lineage: Eukaryota; Viridiplantae; Streptophyta; Magnoliopsida; Poales; Poaceae
Exons: 3
Source: RefSeq, a predicted model, not a curated record
GUGACCCGCCAUUAAGCUUGGUGGCUCAUAAUAUUUUCUCCAUGGAAACCAAGCAUACCACGGGAGGAUUCAAAGAAUUUCUAUUGGGAAAUCAAAGGGGGCAAUAACUUCAAUUGGGAGAAGUCGCUAGAAAAGAAGGAGACCUCUACCUGGUAACCAA